UGGCUCAGGACGAACGCUGGCGGCGUGCUUAACACAUGCAAGUCGAACGAUGAACCACUUCGGUGGGGAUUAGUGGCGAACGGGUGAGUAACACGUGGGCAAUCUGCCCUUCACUCUGGGACAAGCCCUGGAAACGGGGUCUAAUACCGGAUACUGACCGGCCUGGGCAUCCAGGCGGGUCGAAAGCUCCGGCGGUGAAGGAUGAGCCCGCGGCCUAUCAGCUUGUUGGUGAGGUAAUGGCUCACCAAGGCGACGACGGGUAGCCGGCCUGAGAGGGCGACCGGCCACACUGGGACUGAGACACGGCCCAGACUCCUACGGGAGGCAGCAGUGGGGAAUAUUGCACAAUGGGCGAAAGCCUGAUGCAGCGACGCCGCGUGAGGGAUGACGGCCUUCGGGUUGUAAACCUCUUUCAGCAGGGAAGAAGCGA
RNAcentral lists this ribosomal RNA (430 nucleotides) under Streptomyces flaveolus. RNAcentral describes it as "bacterial SSU rRNA". It matches the Rfam family "Bacterial small subunit ribosomal RNA", at positions 20 to 453 of the family's 1533-position model. Lineage: Bacteria; Bacillati; Actinomycetota; Actinomycetes; Kitasatosporales; Streptomycetaceae. The record is from RNAcentral.